This 468-nucleotide ribosomal RNA is filed under the name uncultured bacterium. Its description in RNAcentral is "partial 16S ribosomal RNA". It matches the Rfam family "Bacterial small subunit ribosomal RNA", at positions 28 to 507 of the family's 1533-position model. The record is from RNAcentral.
GACGAACGCUGGCGGCGUGCUUAACACAUGCAAGUCGAACGGAAAGGCCCUGCUUUUGUGGGGUGCUCGAGUGGCGAACGGGUGAGUAACACGUGAGUAACCUGCCCUUGACUUUGGGAUAACUUCAGGAAACUGGGGCUAAUACCGGAUAGGAGCUCCUGCUGCAUGGUGUGGGUUGGAAAGUUUCGGCGGUUGGGGAUGGACUCGCGGCUUAUCAGCUUGUUGGUGGGGUAGUGGCUUACCAAGGCUUUGACGGGUAGCCGGCCUGAGAGGGUGAACGGCCACAUUGGGACUGAGAUACGGCCCAGACUCCUACGGGAGGCAGCAGUGGGGAAUAUUGCACAAUGGGCGGAAGCCUGAUGCAGCAACGCCGCGUGCGGGAUGACGGCCUUCGGGUUGUAAACCGCUUUCGCCUGUGACGAAGCGUGAGUGACGGUAAUGGGUAAAGAAGCACCGGCUAACUACGUG